This is an RNA transcript of Tripterygium wilfordii, 2651 nucleotides long. It is a transcript of the gene named L-type lectin-domain containing receptor kinase IX.1-like, with no coding region annotated. Lineage: Eukaryota; Viridiplantae; Streptophyta; Magnoliopsida; Celastrales; Celastraceae. The record is from RefSeq and is a predicted model, not a curated record. The transcript is spliced from 7 exons.
AGUCGCCAGCUUGUUGGUUUACCCUAUGCGGUGUUUUGUCAGCAGUUGGGGCCAUGUCAUGCAAUUGCAGUCCUCACCUUCGGGAAUAAGAGUUCUGCAACAAAAUUAUGGUUCUGCAAUUGGUCUUGCGAGCGGGAAAGAGAAAUACAACUCAUCUACCAAUCCAUUUGUUGCCGUGGAAUUCGACACCUAUCAUAAUAUAUGGGAUCAAGAUAAUGAUCAUGCGGGUAUAAAUAUCAACUCUGUAAGGUCCAUGGACAGCAAGACAUGCAGGAGCUUUAUUAUAAAAUUGAUCUUAGAGAUCACCUGUAAGAGUGGGUUAAUGUUGGCUUCGCUGCUGCAACAGGGAGGUUCUCUGAAUUUCACCUUCUUCACUCUUGGCACUUCAGCUCUAAUUUGCAAAUCAACACUCCUUCACCUCCAGCAACUGCCAUGCCUAGCAUCAGUCCCGGUGAAAGAGCUAACUGCAAAAAAUGGCAUUACAUUGGUGGUGCUGCUCUAUUGGUGGUUGUUUUAAUUUUGUUUCUUUGCAUCUGCAAGAAUAGAAAUGGAAGAAGAUUUCAUAUCAAGAAUUGGUUCUUCCAACGGAUUAAUAACUUGAAGAGGGAAGAGAGAUCAGCAGCUGAUUCUUCGAGGGAUGCUGAAUUUCAAAAGCUUGCCGGUGCUCAGAGGAUUGCAUAUUCAGAAUUGGCUCAUGCCACCAAUAACUUUGCAGCAGAAAGGAAGCUUGGGGAGGGAGUAUCUGGUGUUGUAUAUAGAGGCUCUUUGAAUGGUGAGGAUAUUGCGGUUAAAAAGUUUAAAAGAAAUUCAGGGCAGGAAAUUAUAGAUUAUGAAUCUGAAGCCAAGGUAAUUAGCCAGUUGAGGCAUAGACAUUUGGUGAAACUUAUUGGCUGGUGUCACGAAAAUGAAGAAUACUUGCUUGCUUAUGAGUUCAUACCUAAUGGUACUCUUGAAUCACAUCUUUUCAAUAGGCCAAACAUCUUAUCAUGCGAAAACAGAUACAAGAUCUGUAGAGAAAUAGCCUCUUCUAUACAUUACUUACAUGAAGAAUAUGAACAAUGCGUGUUGCAUAGAGAUGUUAAGCUAAGCAACAUAAUGUUGACAUCAAAUCUAGAAGCAAAAUUGGGAGACUUUGGUUUGGCCAGAUUUGAUGGAGAUGAAAGUGGCUCAAGAAUAACGGCACUUGCCGGCACCUUAGGAUAUAUGGCUCCUGAAUAUUUCCAAACGGGCACCGCCACCAAGGGGUCGGAUGUCUACAGCUUUGGAGUUGUGGACUUGGAGAUUGCUUGCAGAAAAAGGCCGAUCAUACCGCUUACUGACGGAAGACAGGUUCCCAUAAGAGAAUGGGUUUCAGAAUUGAAACAAAAGGGGCGGCUUCUGGAAGCAGCUGAUGAUCGUCUACGAAGAAACUUCGAUGAGGACCAAAUGAGACGGUUGUUGGAUGUGGGUCUCAGAUGUGCAAAUCCAGACUCCGAUUCUCGACCAUCAAUAAGAGAAGCACUUGAAUCGCUGCCAGCCUUGUCGUCUACUUUAUUCUGGUCUGCACUUUCGGACAUGAUCCAUAAUUUUACUACGACAUUUGCAGGAAGCCAAAGCAGAAAUCCAGGUCGUGAUGAUUCAUCCCAGUUUGCUUCUUCAGCCUCCCUUGCCCGCUAUGGUUUUUGAAUCCUGUGAUUGUCAGCAUGAUGAGGAGCAAAGGAGACAGUUGUUGGGUGUGGGUCUCAUAUAUGUAAAUCCAAACUCCGCUUCUCAACCAUGAAUAAAGGAAGCACUUGAUUACUGCCGCCCUUGCUGUCUACUUUAUUCUGGUCUGUACUUUCAGACAUGAUCCUUUAUUUUACUUCAUGGUUUGAGCCAAAGCAGAAAUCCAGAUAGGAAGGGAGAGUUAUGGAGAAUGUACAAGAAACAGAAAUGGAGAAGCUUGAGAGAGCCUACAAGCAUCUUAUCAUGUGAAAACAGGAUAUAUGGCUCCUGAAUAUCUUCAAACAGGCAGAGCCACCAAGGAGUCAGAUGUCUUCACUUCAGCUUCGGAGUUGUAGCCUUGGAGAUUGCUUCCAGAAAAAGGCCGAUGGCAAACACUUACUGUGGAAGAGAGGUUGAAAUAAGAGAAUGGGUUUCAGAAUUUGAAUAAAACGGGUGAAAACUUCUUGAAUCAGCUGAUGAUCAUCUACGAAGAAACUUCGAUGAGGAACAAAUGAGACGGUUGUUGGAUGUGGGUCUCAGCUGUGCAAAUCCAGACUCUGCUUCUUGACCAUCAAUAAGCGAAGCACUUGAAUCGCUGCCACCCAUGCCGUCUACUUUACUCUGGUCUGUACUUUCAGACAGGAUCCAUUAUUUUACUGCAACAUUUGGAGGAAGCCAAAUGCAUAAAUCCAGGUCGUCAUGAUUCGUCCACAAUCAUCCUUGGAUAAGUAUAUUGUUCUGAUCAUGAAUAGGGCUGCCAUUUAUGAAUCACCGCAAGAAGUUUUUAUUUCAGUUUUUAUGGAUCUAACUCUUAUGUUGACAAGAAAGAUAUUGCCACAUAUGUUGGAUUGUUGCUUACUCGACUUUAUUCAACCCAUACAAUCUUCACGUACCCCUCAGUCUAUGGUGAGUUUUGUAGUUGGUGGUACUAUUUAUGAUGUUAUGUUAUGUUUUUGGAUCUUCUUUCU